GCAGUCGAGCGGACAGAUGGGAGCUUGCUCCCUGAUGUUAGCGGCGGACGGGUGAGUAACACGUGGGUAACCUGCCUGUAAGACUGGGAUAACUCCGGGAAACCGGGGCUAAUACCGGAUGGUUGUUUGAACCGCAUGGUUCAGACAUAAAAGGUGGCUUCGGCUACCACUUACAGAUGGACCCGCGGCGCAUUAGCUAGUUGGUGAGGUAACGGCUCACCAAGGCGACGAUGCGUAGCCGACCUGAGAGGGUGAUCGGCCACACUGGGACUGAGACACGGCCCAGACUCCUACGGGAGGCAGCAGUAGGGAAUCUUCCGCAAUGGACGAAAGUCUGACGGAGCAACGCCGCGUGAGUGAUGAAGGUUUUCGGAUCGUAAAGCUCUGUUGUUAGGGAAGAACAAGUGCCGUUCAAAUAGGGCGGCACCUUGACGGUACCUAACCAGAAAGCCACGGCUAACUACGUGCCAGCAGCCGCGGUAAUACGUAGGUGGCAAGCGUUGUCCGGAAUUAUUGGGCGUAAAGGGCUCGCAGGCGGUUUCUUAAGUCUGAUGUGAAAGCCCCCGGCUCAACCGGGGAGGGUCAUUGGAAACUGGGGAACUUGAGUGCAGAAGAGGAGAGUGGAAUUCCACGUGUAGCGGUGAAAUGCGUAGAGAUGUGGAGGAACACCAGUGGCGAAGGCGACUCUCUGGUCUGUAACUGACGCUGAGGAGCGAAAGCGUGGGAGCGAACAGGAUUAGAUACCCUGGUAGUCCACGCCGUAACGAUGAGUGCUAAGUGUUAGGGGGUUUCCGCCCCUUAGUGCUGCAGCUAACGCAUUAAGCACUCCGCCUGGGGAGUACGGUCGCAAGACUGAAACUCAAGGAAUUGACGGGGGCCCGCACAAGCGGUGGAGCAUGUGGUUUAAUUCGAAGCAACGCGAGAACCUUACCAGGUCUUGACAUCCUCUGACAAUCCUAGAGAU
This 964-nucleotide ribosomal RNA is filed under the name Bacillus amyloliquefaciens. RNAcentral's name for it is "bacterial SSU rRNA". It matches the Rfam family "Bacterial small subunit ribosomal RNA", at positions 57 to 1007 of the family's 1533-position model. Lineage: Bacteria; Bacillati; Bacillota; Bacilli; Caryophanales; Bacillaceae. The record is from RNAcentral.